GUUGAUAUCCAGAGGAGCAAAGAGGGAGCUGUCCAAAGCUAUGAGCACGUGUGCCUGCCUGCUUGCUGACAUGUAUGCAUAUGUCUGGCCUCUUUGAGACUUGCUUGAAUUGUGACACACCACCUGGUUUAGAUCCUGUAAUGCCCUCUGACCUGUUGGAAGAAACUACUGAAACUUUCCAGGAAGAACCUUAUGAUCGCCUGUUGGCCAGAUUGGUUAAGGCCACUUGCUCUCAACGAGAGUUGUGAUGUUCUUUGAUAUGUAUAAUGGACAUUGUCUCAGUAGUAUGUGAGGCGGGUGUAAAAGAAUUAUACACUUCGUUGAUCGGUUGUCUAUAAUUUAAGUUUUGAAAAAGUGUGCUGCCUAGGAAGCACCCUUAUACCUUGAAGACAACCCCCCGACAUCCCUCCUUUAACCAGAUUGUGUCUCCUAGCCCCUGCUUUAUAAGGAUUCCAGAACCAGCCCCACCCCCUUGAGAUUCUGGGUGUUCUUUCGAAGGCCAUCUGCCUUGUUUCCACCAUGUGCCACUUACCUUUGAAACAGCUGCUCCGCAGUUAGAAUUUCCAGGCCCCAAGUUGGCGUUUCUGACCCAUUUGCAGCUGAAACACUGUUAAUGUUUGCAUUACGCUGGAUAACUCUGGAGGUUAAAAUCGAUUCGUGCAAAUAGAUGACUGAGUAAGCAAUAGAAACCUGACCUAGAAUAAUCUCACGGUUUGAUGUUGCAUAAACAUGUUUUAUAAUCUGUUUAACAGCAAACUUGAUACUUCCUGCAUGUGCCACCCAUAGCAUGCCCUUUGCUGGGAGACGAGAGAAAAAGGAAAACCAUGUUUUCCUUCUCAUUCAAAAUCAAGGAAAUUAAUAAACUGAGAAAAUCUGAUUGUCCUCAGUACUCUAUGUCUUUGUGCGUUUCUCUUCAUUCUGUAUUCUUUUUUCAUCUUCUUGUGCAGAGCUGGAGCAAAGGCAGCUCUCAUGGUUGGGAUGGUACAUUUAACCUCAGGUUUAUUAUUUUAAACACACUUGCUUGACUCUGAUCGGAGAUCAAAAUAAGCACUGCCAAGAAUGGGACAGACUGACAUUGUAGCUGCUUUGAUGUGACGUAUGGAGACAAACACAGCCACACUCCCAUGAUAUUUGUGGCAAAAUGCAAGUAGUACUAAUCAUAAGGCAACAUCAUACAAACCCAAGUUGAGGGAGAUUCUGCAAAAAACCCAGUAUGACAUCUUCAAAAACAUGGCAGUCAUGAAAGACAAAGGCAGAUUGAAGAAUCGUUUCAGAUUGGAGAAGAGGGAAGAGACAUCAAAAGUGAAUGUGACGCAUUCUCCUGGAUGGGAACCAGAAACAGAAGAAACAAAAUUGAGGAGUGCAUAAAAGAAAAAUGAGUGAAUGGAUUACAUGGUCAUACUGCAUAAAUGUCCACUUCCCGCUUUUGAUGGCCAAAGUAUGGUUAUUCCAUAGGAGAAUGUCGUGUCUUCUAGAAAAUUCACAUUGACACUUCACGUGGGGCUGGAGCACCAUGUCUGCAACUUUCAGUUGUUUCAGGAAGGUGGAUGAUAGAUGAUGGAUAGAGAGAGAGAGAGAGAGAGAAAGAUGGUAAAGAUAAAUACAGAAGUAAUGAUAAAGCCAAAGUGUCAGAAUGUUAGGAACUGGGGACCUUGGGUGAAAGAACUUGACAGUUCUUUGUAUUAUUCUUUCAACUUUUGUGUCUAAAUAUAUAUAAGGUAAAAAUAGGUAACAUUGAUCUAUUUACAUCUGUCUUACAUAUGUAUAUAAUUUACCUGGGCCCCUGAGGGCUACUGAAUUAGAAUAUAGGCAAGGGAGCUCCUAGAAAGCCCAGAGGUGAGGGUGGUACAGAGCCAGCGAGGCUCGGCUCCCCUUUAGCAAGGCCUCUCAGUUCUAGGAGCUCGGUGGCAGGUAGGUCUGGGGAGGAAGCGAUUCUGCUUCUUGUCCUGGCUUCUCUCUCACAUUCCAAGCCCACUGCCUGCUCUCUUCUCUCUCUUGCUACUUCCCAAGGUGUAAUUAUCUGACAAUGACUCAUCAAAGCUUCCCAAACUGUGUUUCUCAAAACACUAAUGUGUUCUCAGAAAACAAACGAAAACGAAAACAAAUAAUCCAUUUGGUUCUGACUCCAAUAAGUCUCUGUAGUAUUUUAUAUAGUGGCUCCUUCCUGGACAUUUAUAAAAGGUAUUCGUUUAUAAAUGCCUUGCAAAGGGCUACAUUUUGUGUAACUCAAUAUUUUGCAAACAUUUUUAGCCGCGUAAUGCCUUUUGUCCCACUUAACACCUCUCACAUAACACCCAGUGACACUUGUGUUUUUCCUGGUACUUAGUGGGAAAGGCCACGUGAAGCCUCUAGGAUACUGAUGGGAGCAGUGUGAAGGUAGUUGGCCUCAGGCAUGGCUCACUCAGGGCCUGGCUCAAUGCAUUUGUGAUUCUCGCAGCUCUGCCUUCUUGCAGGUGUCCACUUGUAUGGAAAGUGACUUCCCUCGUGAGAUUUCCAGAUGCUGUAAGCAGGAACUGAGGCUAAUGCUUGUGUCUUCACAGACAGGCAGAGAACAGCAGGUGUGCAUCUGGCGCAGACUACCCCUGAGCCAAUCACCAGAGCCAGGGAAUUGGGAUUGCCCUGUUAGCUGGGACCAGCCAGGGCUCACCCAUUCAUGCAUGGGGGCUACACAGUGGGCAGAGGGCGGGAUGGCUGCUGGGGUCGGGUAUCAGAAUGUGGAACUUCAGCCAGCAGAGGACUGGGAGUCUUGCAAUUGGCUCAGGUAACCCCCUCCCCACACAAGGCUCUCCAGACAAUCACCAGCUCCAGUUCUGCACCCAGUUAGCCUGUCCUGGGGUGAGGAGGCGGCCCUCUGUGUGCAGAAGGCAGGGAAGAGCCACCAGGUGACCCAGUGGCUGCUCAGUGGGAAAAGGAUUAGCAGUGAACUGAGUUGCCUUUUCCAUUUUUCCUUUUCUUCUUUGAGUCACAUGCUUUCCCACGAUGGGAUUUUUCUUUCUCUUUAGCCCUGCCCAGCAAGCCCGUCUCUGGGAUCACAGCUACAUUCACUUCUGAAAAGACUAGUGAACACAGAUUGCUUGCCAGUUCCCCAACUGGAGGCUGAAUUCCAAAAGUUAUUUUCUUUAAGCCUUAAUCUCAACCUUUUGCCUCAUGAUUUUCAAGUAAAAUCCUUCUCGUGGCAGGUGCUCACAAAAUGCUAAGAACUGAACAACGUGUCCUUAUUACACUUGCAGUAAUUCCCAGAUGGCACCCGUGGAUUCAAACGUUUGUAAGUCGCUUGACAUGGGUCUGCCCAGCUACAGCCAGGAGGAUGCCCGUGCUAGGUUAACACCGAAUGCAAACGAACAGAAAUCAGCACUGGCCGGAUUUUCCCUCCUUUCCUGUGAAGCAGAUAAUGCUGCAAGCACAGUGCUUUCCGAGGGCUGCAGCUGACUUGGAAGGGGGGGCAUCUCUCCUUCAUCACCCCAAGUAGACAAGAGCCGGAGUCUCCUGGAAGCCUCGGGAAAUGCCCAGGCCUGUGCCAGAGCAGGUGUCCAAUUUCAUAUCCAGUCUUCUUCCUUCUCCUUCCCGCAAACACCGCCCCAGAGGAAAAGACCCCCAAAAUUGAUGAAAAUUAAUGUAACAAGUUGCUCCUAGAGCUCUUCUCCAAUUGCCAUUCCUGAAAUUACCAGCCCCUUGUUUUUAGGUUACUGCCUAAUUCAUUUGAUAUAUUAUAAUAUGAUGAGGUGCAUUAUCAUACACAGAGACGCUUUAGUUAAUUUAUGUAUUUAUUUGUUUUUUAGGGCUGUGGCCAUGGCAUAUGGAUUCCUAGGCUGCGGGUCAAAUCAAAACUACAGCUGCUGGCCUACACCGCAGCCACAGCCACACAGGAUCCGAGCUGCGUCUGCAACCUACACUACAGCUCACGGCAAUGCCAGCUCUUUAACCCACUGAGUGAGGCCAGAGAUUGAACCCCUAGGCAAGUUUGUUACUGCCCAGCCACAGCGGGAACUCCCAGAGGCACAUUAUUUUAAUUGAAGUUUAGCUGAUUUACAGUGUCAUAUUAAUUUCCAGCAUACAGCACAGCGAAUCAGUUAUAAAUGUAGAUACAUAUAGGCUUUAUCCUAUUAUUUUCCACUGUGGUUUAUUGUAAGAUACUGAAUAGAGUUCUCCGUGCUAUACAAUAGGAUCUUGCUGUUGACCUAUUUUAUGUGUAGUGGUUUGUACCUGCCCAUCCCAAAUUCCUAAUUUAUCCCUACCUUCCCCCUUCAGUAACCAUAAGUUUGUUCUCUAUGUCUGUGAGUGUGUUUCUGACUUGUAAAUAAGUUCAUUUGUAUCCUUUUUUUAGAUUCCACACAUAAGUGAUAUGUAUUUGUCUUUGUCUGACUGAUGUCACUUAAUAUGAUGAUCUCUAGGUCCAUCCAUGUCACUACGAAUGGCAUUAGUUCAUUCUUUUUUAUGACUGAAUACUAUUCCAUUCACACACACACACACACUUUUUUUUUUUUUGCCAAAACUGUGGCAUGCCAAAGUUCCCCAGCCAGGGAUUGUACCUGGGCCACAGCAGUGACCCAAGCCAUAGCAGUGACAGUGCCAGAUCCUUAACCCACCACACCACCAGAGAACCCCUGACACACACACAUCUUUAAUACAAGGGCUUCAAUGCCUCGAUUCAAAAUAGUGACCAGAGGUGAGGAACUUAGGCCUUCUGCUCACCAUCAAGUACGUGCUAUCUUUUCAGUCAACCCUAGGGAUGAACUGAGUUUAAAUUGCAUCCCUGUGGGACACAGGUGAGCUCUGAAAGCCCACUGCUUGUCAAAUAUCUGCCUCAGAGAAAGUUUCUUAAGGUUCGAAACUCAUCAAGGCUGUCUUAGAUGGGAGUCUCCUCUGUUCCCUGAACUUCUGCCUGGAACAGCUCAGCAGGUAGAGGCCAGGGGGUCUCAGAGCCUUAGCGUAGGAGAGGGUCCUGAACCUCCCCUCCUCUCUUCCAAACUACAGCGUCCUCGCCAAGUGAUGAGUAACCUCUUCUGAGCUAACCUCCACCUGGAAUCGUCAUUGAGCUGCUCACUUCCUUUAUUUUCACAUACGCCCUUCAUUACCUGAAACAAAUACAUCUCUCAUCCUUGAGCCCACAAGAAUCUAAGCGCUCUCAGGUUUUACAAGGCUUCUUCAGGCUAACCUUCUGCCAACACUUAAAUUCCCUUUCUGAAAGGGCCCCCAGUUGCUGCAGUGUCUCUGCCUUGCUCCCCCUGGCUCUGCCCCCCGCCCCCCGUCGUCUUUCUAAAGUUCAUAGUCCUACCUCCUCGCCCCUAACAGCCAGCUUCACAAAUACAGUGCAUCCUGAACGUGAAUUCCGCAUCUUCAGCGUAAGUAGAAUGUUUUUAGGAAAUCAAACACGUAGCUUGUUUCCUUUGUAAAAAUGACCAGAAUAAAGAGCUCUCUACCUAAUCAGUCCCCUGGCUCCCAAGGAAUGUUAGAACCAAACUUGUGAAAAAUGAACUAAAAUGAGGGACCAUCUGUAGGCUUUUGUGUUGAGGUCUUCUGUUGGCCGCCUGACCGCUCCACUCCAUCGGGUGAGAUAAUCAAACGUAUUGGCUCUUAUUUCAAUUUCCUUAGCUAGUAUUUGGAAAAUAAGCAGCUGAAAGAAAAUGUAAAUAUCCUUAUGUGUACUGCUCUUUUGGCUGCAAGUAAUAGAAAACCUACCAGUUGCAUAAACCCUAGGGUAGUGUUGGCUGCAGUUAUCUAAAGCUGCAUAAAAGAUGUAUGCUUUUGUUUUUGUUUUUUUCCACUCAAGGUUAGCAUCUGUAAUUCUUCCUCCACAGUUCUGCUUGGCAUUUUCACAUAACUGUUGAAGACUGAAAGUUCUGAAAACGUGGAGCCACCAGCCGACUUCCCUUUCCGUCUCAUUAGUCGGGGUGGAGGCACAAGGCCAGCUGAGCUACGAGGGAAACAAGGAAGUGAGUUUCUGGCAACGGGAGGUGGGACGGUCGUGACCAGGCAAAGCGGCUGCUUCAGUGUCCCCGGAACGUUGAAAAAUAAGAGUUUUAUUUCCUUGUAAAAGUUAAUAGAUAAUCAUGAAGAAAGUUU
This 6063-nucleotide long non-coding RNA is filed under the name Sus scrofa (pig). RNAcentral describes it as "lncRNA (ENSSSCG00030054140.1)". Lineage: Eukaryota; Metazoa; Chordata; Mammalia; Artiodactyla; Suidae. The record is from RNAcentral.